UCCUGACUCCUAUGGGCUGUUGGCUGCCCUGGAAGUGCAGGCGGCAAGCCCAGGCCCUUCAAGAGAGCCAGGCAGUGUGGCUCUGGGCAAAUCACUCCCCCUCUCUGGGCCUGUUUCUGCUUCUCUUGGUGGAUGAAGGACGCUGUCCUGCCAAGCUCAGAAUGGCAGUGAUUUUAUGACAUGCUCUCCUUUCUGGGAGGACGGUCCAUUCUCCUCAUGCCCUCAUUCAUGUGGGAUGGGGCAUGCCCCCAAGACACAUCAAGCUAUCCCACUAGCAGCCCUUGGCUGUAGAAAGCCCCCCCACCCAGUGCAGGGAUAAGGGUGACCCUUCAGAGUUGAAAGGGGUGACCAGGAACCUGGGAGAGUCCCAGGAAAGCCCAGGGUUGGAGCUUCAGGGCCAAAGUGGUUAACUGAAAAUAUUCAUUAUCACCCCGCCCAGGCUGGAGGCCCCUGGCUUCCAGUUUUGAAGCAGAGGUCAGCUGGGCGGUGUAGGACACUGCUCCCGGGUUGACCAAUGGGCCACAUCAAUGGGUCUGCUGUUUGGGGUCAAGAUCCCAAGACCCCAGGGGAAGUCAACAUCCAUCUGAGGCUCUCUCAGGCCCUGCAAGCCAUCUCUGGCCUCACUGCCCUCCCCUUUAGAAAUGUGGGAAUGAGGCUCAGAGAGGUUGAGCUGCUUGCCAAGUUUGCAUAGCCAAAAGGCGUCUGAACGAAACUGAGCAUUCGGGGUUGGACUUCCCCUCUUCGCCGCCUGCUCUGCUCUCCCAGGCACUACUGAGCGCGCUCGCGGUCGCCAGGAGCGGAUUGGGCCCCCGCCGCGCGCAAGCCUUGGUGACAGGGGAUGGCGCGGAGCUGCCUCUCCGGGAAAGUUGGAUCUGUGCGCCCAGACAUGGAAAAGGGAUUAGGACACCGGCAGAUCUUGCCCUCACAGAGCGGAGGUGGGGGCCUUGGAAGGGGCACACCGCCCGUAGGCGCGAAAUCCAAGAAGAAAAUGACACUCAUCAGCCAGCCUCGCGCGGGGAGAAAGGGCGGGGUGGGGGGUAGUGGCACCCUGCCCGUCCUCUCCCACCCCCACAGUCCGGGCCCACAGUCCAGGAGUCACAAGGGAUGUGAAUCCCCAGGCAUAAUGUGAACCCCCAACAAACCCAAGGCCUCAGAAUGCGCCUCACCUCUCCCUCCCCACCAGCAGAAACAUCCUCCCACUCUCCCAACCCCUGCUCCAGCCACGCCAACCCUUUAACCUUGUCCCAGAAUGUCUAAACUGUAUCUGCCUCUGUGCCUGUGCACAUGAAGUUGCCUUGGCCCGGCGUUUGCUCCACAGCCUUCUGCCAAACUCCUACUGCUUGAUGGCUGGAAGCCUUCGCACCCUGGCGCUCUCCUCCCAGGUCAGCAGUCACUGGCCUUCCUGUGCAUCCAGCCCAGCUUUGAACAGUCCUGGGCCCCAACCCUUAUCUUUUUCCGAGUAAUUACAUGGUUGCAUGAUUGGCUUCACCGCCUCUGGAUCAGAUGAGCGCUACUAAUGAAGGAUACAAGUUGUAAAACUAGGUUUUAUGUGAACUCCAGUCAUCACAGUUUAGGUGCGGCUAGCGAUUUUACAGAUGCGGGGUUAGUAACUGGCCCAAAUCCAGGGCUUCCGGGAUGCUGUUUUCCUUUUUUGUUUCUUAGCAGGGAUGGCAGAUGUUUGUAGAACAGAUCCGUGUAAAAGUCAGUAUCCUAAGAGAUUAAAUUGUAAAGCAGGACAAGAUAGUUAACGGUGUGUGUGUGUGUGUGUGUGUGUGUGUGUGUGUGUGUAUGUCUUUUCCAAAUUGAGAGGGAGGUAGAAGAAUUAGCCAAAACCCAGGAUUCACUCUGAGGUAGACCCACACCUCUUAGUUAGAUCCCAUUUAUUAAGCUGUAAUUAUUCACAGCGUUGCUGAAGAUAUACACAGGGCCCCUCCCAUCUCCCUGCGACUGACUGGUUCCAAGUAUGCUAUUAUAUGUGUUAUUAUCACUGUGGCUCAAUUAGAAGUGCUGCCGAAGGCCUUGAGGUUGCCACAGUCAAACUGCAGGUGCAGGCAGCGAGUAACAAUGAUUAUAAUGCCUGCAUCUGGAUCGCGCUUUUUGCUUUUCAGAAUGCUUUCAAAUGUGUCUCCUCAUUAAAUCUCUGCAAACAUCCUCCAGGUAGUUAGGAAAAGUUUAAUGAGUUUUGCCUGACAAGGGAAACCAAGACACAAAGAGGGCAGGUGACUUGCACAAGGAGAGAGAUGGCUCCCCCAGGCUGCUCCAAGGGUGGAGCUGGCCACUGUAACUCAAUGUCCUGCAGGAAGAGAUGGUUGGGUACAGUUAGGAGCUCAGGCUCUAGUGCCAAAGUGCCCAAUUUGCAACUUUCAGCUGAUUACUCAUACUUGGUUUCCUUUUCUGUUGAAUAGAUCUAAUAAUAGGAGCUUAUCUUGUA
RNAcentral lists this long non-coding RNA (2431 nucleotides) under Homo sapiens (human). RNAcentral describes it as "HSALNT0378836". Lineage: Eukaryota; Metazoa; Chordata; Mammalia; Primates; Hominidae. The record is from RNAcentral.